CCGGGCGCACGGGUGAGUAACACGUAUCCAACCUGCCGUCUACUCUUGGCCAGCCUUCUGAAGGAAGAUUAAUCCAGGAUGGGAUCAUGAGUUCACAUGUCCGCAUGAUUAAAGGUAUUUUCCGGUAGACGAUGGGGAUGCGUUCCAUUAGAUAGUAGGCGGGGUAACGGCCCACCUAGUCAACGAUGGAUAGGGGUUCUGAGAGGAAGGUCCCCCACAUUGGAACUGAGACACGGUCCAA
Molecule: ribosomal RNA, 241 nt
Filed under: uncultured bacterium
Lineage: Bacteria
Description: partial 16S ribosomal RNA
Rfam family: Bacterial small subunit ribosomal RNA
Source: RNAcentral